AACGAACGCUGGCGGCAUGCCUAACACAUGCAAGUCGAACGAGACCUUCGGGGCUAGUGGCGCACGGGUGCGUAACGCGUGGGAACCUGCCCUUAGGUUCGGAAUAACUCCCCGAAAGGUGUGCUAAUACCGGAUAAUGUCUUCGGACUAAAGAUUUAUCGCCUUUGGAUGGGCCCGCGUUGGAUUAGCUAGUUGGUAGGGUAAAAGCCUACCAAGGCGACGAUCCAUAGCUGGUCUGAGAGGAUGAUCAGCCACACUGGGACUGAGACACGGCCCAGACUCCUACGGGAAGCAGCAGUGGGGAAUAUUGGACAAUGGGCGAAAGCCUGAUCCAGCAAUGCCGCGUGAGUGAUGAAGGCCUUAGGGUUGUAAAGCUCUUUUACCCGGGAUGAUAAUGACAGUACCGGGAGAAUAAGCUCCGGCUAACUCCGUG
This 433-nucleotide ribosomal RNA is filed under the name uncultured bacterium. RNAcentral describes it as "partial 16S ribosomal RNA". It matches the Rfam family "Bacterial small subunit ribosomal RNA", at positions 29 to 507 of the family's 1533-position model. The record is from RNAcentral.